CCCGCUGAACUUAAGCAUAUUAUUAAGCGGAGGAAAAGAAACUAACAAGGAUGCCCUCAGUAACGGCGAGUGAAGCGGGCAAAGCUCAACCUGUAAAUCUGGUUUCCUUAGCGGGAAUCCGAAUUGUGGGCUAGAGACGCAAGAUCAGUGUGUGACCUAGGUAUAAAUCUUUUGAAACAAGGUAUCAUAGAGGGUGAGAAUCCCGUCUGUGACCUGGAGUUCGCCGCGUACGAUCUGCGUUCGUAGAGUCGAGUUGUUUGGGAUUGCAGCUCUAAAUGGGUGGUAAAUUUCAUCUAAAGCUAAAUAUCGACGAGAGACCGAUAGCGAACAAGUACCGUGAGGGAAAGAUGAAAAGAACUUUGAAAAGAGAGUUAAAAAGUACUUGAAAUUGCUAAGAGGGAAGCACUGGAAACCAGUCGUGACCUGCGUGUAUAUUUACCAUUCGCUCCUGGACCGGUCUUUCUCCCAAGAGCCUCAAGCCUUGGUGAUUGGCUGCGAAAAUGUGGGUGGGUCCUGUACUGUAGGUUGAGUCAGAAUCAAUUCGAUCCGUGAGAGAAAGCUAUGGCAACGGUAGGUCCGCGGGGGCAACUUCAAGGACUGCUUAGUGCUGUAGUGCUAUCAUGGGUUGGAUUGAGGUACCAUCGAAAUGCGCGCCACUAGGUUAGCGGUUCCCUGACCCUGGAUUCACAGGGGGCUUGGACAACAAAGUUGUGCGGUCCCUGAAGGUUUCUACUGGAAAGGAUGAAUCAGCAGCAGCAUUCGAGAUUCUGACGAAAUGGUUUUCAUUGACCCGUCUUGAAACACGG
RNAcentral lists this ribosomal RNA (806 nucleotides) under uncultured fungus. Its description in RNAcentral is "eukaryotic LSU rRNA". It matches the Rfam family "Eukaryotic large subunit ribosomal RNA", at positions 24 to 664 of the family's 3401-position model. Lineage: Eukaryota; Fungi. The record is from RNAcentral.